UUACAGCACCCUCAGCUGGCUAUCUUAAAACACUGCACUUGUCGUGGUCUGAAUUCAACCGUGCAUGAACAUGAACAGGGCAGAGGAGGAUAUAGUGCAUUCGAUUUACAGCAACAGGACAAUCAAACGUCGGGCUUUAUGUGUAUAUUAAAUUUAUUUUCUGAAGGGGACAGAUACUGGCCUCCUACGGGUGCUCAGUCUUCAUCAGCCCCUCAGAGUGAGCAUUACUGCUUCACUUCAUCAUCAUGCUGCACCACUGAAGAAAGGCGAGGUCAGUGUCAGUGUGAAGAACCUUGUUGACUGCACCGGUGGUGGCGGGGGGAGGGAAGGAGCAUAAAGCUCAGGAAGAUGGCAUCACCCUUUGUGCCUGUCCCUGUGCCGAUGGACAGAGCUUUGUCAGGAGGUAGCAGCAAGCUCAGGCGGCCACAGCGAGCUUCAUCACUAGGCAGCGUCUCUAGCUUCUCGACUGGGCAGGACCACGGAAGAGGAUGUGGAGGAUUAGGUACCCAGCACCAAUCCCGCUGCGUGGACAGAGGUAGCCGGAGCAGGACACCACCACCCCCCCAGAGCCCUGUGACCCGGGCCAGGGUGAACGGGACUCUGGAGCCCUCCGUGGAGUACUCUAGCUGUCCCCGCUCCAUAUCAGAUCCUGCUGGGAGCCAGCAAGGCGAGGAGAGGCCUAUUACCCCCACUGUGCUGGGGUAUGAAGUCAUGGAGGAGAGGGCCAAGUUCACGGUAUUUAAGGUCCUGGUCAGAAAGACUCCAGAUGAGAGCUGGGUUGUUUUUAGAAGGUACACAGACUUCUCCAGACUCAACGACAAGCUGAAGGAGAUGUUCCCAGGCUUCCGCCUCUCGCUGCCUCCUAAGCGGUGGUUCAAAGACAACUAUGACACCGACUUCCUGGAAGACAGACAGUUGGGACUCCAGGCCUUUUUGCAAAACCUUGUUGCACACAAGGACAUUGCCAGCUGCCUGGCAGUGAGAGAGUUUCUGUGUCUGGAUGACCCCCCUGGGCCUUUUGAUAGUCUGGAGGAGAGCAGAGCGUUCUGUGAGACUUUGGAGGAGAGCAAUUACCGUCUCCAGAAGGAGCUGCUGGAGAAGCAGAAGGAGAUCGCCUCCCUGAAGAGGAGGCUGGAGGAGAGGGAGCAAGCCAUCCUGCUACUGGAGAAGCAUAUCAAUCUCCAGUGGCGAGUGUGUGAGCCCGGAGUCUGUGUGUGAUCUGUCAGCUCAGGGCAGUGAGAGCAGUACAGAUGCAGAUGUGGAGUCGUCUGCUGCAGAGGCUGAUCAGGAUGUGCCUGAGGACACUGGCAGUGCUGCCCCGAACUGAAAAAAGAGCCCCAUAACAUUGGCAGGUGUGCGGUCCAACCGGUGCGAUCCUCUGCCUGUUGGUGUGGACCAUCACUCAGCAGCUCUCCUCCGCUCAUCCAGGUCACUCCGCUUUACCACCAGAAGCUGGAACAAUAACAAGAAACACUGGUCCUCCUUUUCCCCUUUUCUCUUCCAUCUCCUCCUCCCCUGCCAGACCACUGCACCUUCCUUAUGUUAGAGUGCCAUUUUUUUUUUUUUUCUGCCUUUUCUUUGACCUUAGCAUUCCCUGCUCCCACCACAACUCCCAUUUUCCCUUUCCAUCUUCCAGACUGUAGCCGCUGUUUCACCUUCCAGUCUUGCAGUUGGAUCUGAAGCAGGCUUUAUCUCUAGAUCUGCGUAUAAGUUAGAAGGGAACAGUUUUAUACUGCAACAGCCGGUCUGCUCAUAUUUCUGGCCCAUGCAAACACUUCAUUCUGAAGACCUCACGCAACUUGUGCAAGAUAUGAACUAUAUCUGGAAUUACAUGGCUACACUUUUUAAAACCUUAAACCAAGUUGAUCUGUCUUAAACGGUGUGGGGAUUUCUCAGUCCUCCUUGUUCACUUUUGAACCUUGUACCGCGGCCGCCUGAUUGAAUCGAUUUGAUCCUGCGGUCACAAAGCCAAAGUUUGGCUUCUUGACCAAAAAUAUAACAUAACUUGAAGACAUUCACAAUUGUGACAAUCUAAAGAAAACCCGAACCAUCACUUCCUGCAGACGUGCAUUGCCUCAUGGCUCAUUACUUGUGACAGAUUUAGAGAAACCACACUCUCAUGUGGCAAUAGAAAUGUAAAAAUAAAAGUCUGGAUGAAAAAAAAAAAAAAAAUCUGUCUCAGGAUACACAUUGGUGGGUAUCACAAUGGUUUGAUAACUUUCUAUUUUUAACUACUUCCAUGGCAUUGCUUUUGACUCUCAUUGAGGCUACAGAGACAGACCUCAAGAAACGUAAUUGUUUUCACCUUCAGUCACACUUAGUUUGUAUCUCAUAGCCUAGAUUUCCUUAUGUUUUAGUGCCAUGUGUGUUUUUUGGUAAACUAAAUUCCUGUGAGAGACCAUACAAUCUGUAAUGCACUCUAAGAGAGAGCAAAGGAAAUGUGGCCUAUUGUUGCUGUUUGAGGAAUGUGAUAUGUCAUUUCCUGACACAUGCAUCAGUUUGCUUUUAGACAUUAACUAUGCCAAUUAAAGUAAAGUCCAUACAUUUAUACAGCCUUAAACCUCUUCUGGCACCUUGCCUGUUAAUAGAGUGGAGACUGGGCCUGCACUUCUACUUCUGUCAGUUUCCUCAAGGUCUACCUAAAUACUGUAAUGUGGGUAUAAUUAAAGGACCAGAUCACCCAUUUUACAAAAUGAACAAAACAUUUUUCUACUUAA
Molecule: RNA transcript, 2717 nt
Organism: Sander lucioperca (pikeperch)
Lineage: Eukaryota; Metazoa; Chordata; Actinopteri; Perciformes; Percidae
Gene: snx16
Gene name: sorting nexin 16
Exons: 9
Source: RefSeq, a predicted model, not a curated record